AGCGAACGCUGGCGGCAGGCCUAACACAUGCAAGUCGAACGAACUCUUCGGAGUUAGUGGCGGACGGGUGAGUAACACGUGGGAACGUGCCUUUUUGUUCGGAAUAACUCAGGGAAACUUGUGCUAAUACCGAAUGUGCCCUUCUGGGGAAAGAUUUAUCGCCAUUAGAGCGGCCCGCGUCUGAUUAGCUUGUUGGUUAGGUAACGGCUCACCAAGGCGAAGAUCAGUAGCUGGUCUGAGAGGAUGACCAGCCACACUGGGACUGAGACACGGCACAGAAUAGUACGGGAGGCAGCAGUGGGGAAUCUUGCGAAAUGGGCGAAAGCCUGACGAAGCCAUGCCGCGUGAAUGAUGAAGGUCUUAGGAUAGUAAAAUUCUUUAACCGGGGACGAUAAUGACGGUACCCGGAGAAGAAGCCCCGGCUAACUUCGUG
Molecule: ribosomal RNA, 433 nt
Filed under: uncultured bacterium
Lineage: Bacteria
Description: partial 16S ribosomal RNA
Rfam family: Bacterial small subunit ribosomal RNA
Source: RNAcentral